GAUGAACGCUAGCGGCAGGCUUAAUACAUGCAAGUCGUGGGGCAGCGCAGGUAGCAAUACUGGGCGGCGACCGGCAAACGGGUGCGGAACACGUACACAACCUUCCGAGAAGUGGGGAAUAGCCCAGAGAAAUUUGGAUUAAUACCCCGUAACAUAACGAUGUGGCAUCACAUUGUUAUUAUAGCUUCGGCGCUUCUUGAUGGGUGUGCGGCUGAUUAGAUAGUUGGCGGGGUAACGGCCCACCAAGUCUACGAUCAGUAGCUGAUGUGAGAGCAUGAUCAGCCACACGGGCACUGAGACACGGGCCCGACUCCUACGGGAGGCAGCAGUAAGGAAUAUUGGUCAAUGGACGCAAGUCUGAACCAGCCAUGCCGCGUGAAGGAUUAAAGGUCCUCUGGAUUGUAAACUUCUUUUAUCUGGGACGAAAAAAGGCGAUUCUUCGUCACUUGACGGUACCAGAUGAAUAAGCACCGGCUAACUCCGUGCCAGCAGCCG
Molecule: ribosomal RNA, 495 nt
Filed under: uncultured bacterium
Lineage: Bacteria
Description: bacterial SSU rRNA
Rfam family: Bacterial small subunit ribosomal RNA
Source: RNAcentral